This 1884-nucleotide ribosomal RNA is filed under the name marine metagenome. RNAcentral describes it as "bacterial LSU rRNA". It matches the Rfam family "Bacterial large subunit ribosomal RNA", at positions 114 to 2189 of the family's 2925-position model. The record is from RNAcentral.
CCGAAUGGGGAAACCCAAUAACUUAUAAGUGAAUUCAUAGCUUAUAAGGGCGAACCUAGGGAACUGAAACAUCUAAGUACCUAGAGGAAAAGAUAUUCCGUUAGUAGUGGCGAGCGAAAGCGGAUCAGGCCAGUGCUACUUUUUACUAAACCAGAACUGUAUGGAAAGGCAGGCCAUAGUGAGUGAUAGCCUCGUAUGGGUAGAUAGUAAAAAAUAGACAUGAGUAGGGCGGGACACGUGAAAUCCUGUCUGAAUAUAGGAAGACCACUUCCUAAGCCUAAAUACUACUUUAUGACCGAUAGUGAACCAGUACCGUGAGGGAAAGGCGAAAAGAACCCCGAGCAGGGGAGUGAAAUAGACCCUGAAACCGGAUGCUUACAAGCAGUUGGAGCCUCUUUAUGAGGUGACAGCGUACCUUUUGUAUAAUGGGUCAGCGACUUAAUCUCAUUAGCAAGCUUAAGCCAUAUAGGUGUAGGCGAAGCGAAAGCGAGUCUGAAUAGGGCGAUUUAGUUAAUGGGAUUAGACUCGAAACCGAGUGAUCUAGUCAUGAGCAGGUUGAAAGUGAAGUAAAAUUCACCGGAGGACCGAACCCACUAGCGUUGAAAAGCUACGGGAUGACUUGUGAUUAGGGGUGAAAGGCCAACCAAACUCGGAAAUAGCUAGUUCUCCGCGAAAACUAUUUAGGUAGUGCGUCGUGUGAAUCUUGUCGGGGGUAGAGCACUGAAUGGGCUAGGGGGAAGCAAUUCCUACCAAACCUAAUCAAACUCCGAAUACCGAUAAGUCUGCACGGCAGACAGUCCAUGGGUGCUAAGGUCCUUGGACGAGAGGGAAACAGCCCAGAUCAACAGCUAAGGUCCCCAAAUAAUGAUUAAGUGUGAAAGGGAGUGGGAACUCCAAGACAGCCAGGAGGUUGGCUUAGAAGCAGCCAUCCUUUAAAGAAAGCGUAACAGCUCACUGGUCUAAUUAAGAGAUCCUGCACCGAAAAUGUAACGGGGCUCAAAUCAUUUACCGAAGCUUUGACAAUUACUUUGUAAUUGGGUAGCGGAGCGUUCUGUAAGCCUGUGAAGGUGAUGCGUAAGCAUUGCUGGAGGUAUCAGAAGUGCGAAUGCUGACAUGAGUAACGAUAAGAAAUGUGAAAGACAUUUCCGCCGAAAUCCUAAGGUUUCCUGCGUAAAGCUAAUCUGCGCAGGGUUAGUCGGCCCCUAAGGCGAGGGCGAAAGCCGUAGUCGAUGGGAAGCAGGUUAAUAUUCCUGCACCAGCUGGUAGUGACGGAUGAAGUAAAUUGUAAGUUCUUACUGGAUUGAACUUGCAGUGAAUUUGUCCCUGGAAAUAGCUCCAGCAUUAGACCGUACCAAAACCGACACAGGUAGGAAGGUAGAGUAUACCAAGGCGCUUGAGAGAACUAUGUUGAAGGAACUCGGCAAAUUACACUUGUAACUUCGGGAUAAAAGUGACCUGCUAUUGGGCAACCAGUAGGAGGUGGCACAGAAGAGGGGGUAGCGACUGUUUACUAAAAACAUAGCACUAUGCAAAGUCGAAAGACGACGUAUAUGGUGUGACGCCUGCCCGGUGCCGGAAGGUUAAUAGGAGGGGUGCAAGCCCUGAAUUGAAGCCCCGGUGAACGGCGGCCGUAACUAUAACGGUCCUAAGGUAGCGAAAUUCCUUGUCGGGUAAGUUCCGACCUGCACGAAUGGCGUAACGAUUUCCCCACUGUCUCCAACAUAGACUCAGUGAAAUUGAAUUCUCGGUUAAGAUGCCGAGUAACCGUGGUUAGACGGAAAGACCCCGUGCACCUUUACUGCAGCUUUGUAUUGGUAUUAGGGGACAGAUGUGUAGCAUAGGUGGGAGACUUUGAAGGAUUGGCGCUAGCCAGUCUGGAGUCAC